This 222-nucleotide unclassified non-coding RNA is filed under the name fungal sp. Its description in RNAcentral is "partial internal transcribed spacer region". The stretch from base 1 to 46 matches the Rfam family "Eukaryotic small subunit ribosomal RNA", at positions 1786 to 1831 of the family's 1831-position model. The record is from RNAcentral. RNAcentral also lists the same sequence under 1 other name. Lineage: Eukaryota; Fungi.
AAGUCGUAACAAGGUUUCCGUAGGUGAACCUGCGGAAGGAUCAUUACCAGAAGUUGGGUAGCUGGAGGGAACUCCUCUACCGAACCUCCACCCCUGUGUUUAUUCCUCUGGUGUUGCUUUGGCAGGGUGCCCCCCUGCCAGAGGUAUGAAAUUCUGUUAACACUGUAAUGAAGCUCCAUCAUGAAAAAGCCAAAACUUUCAACAACGGAUCUCUUGGUUCCG